Molecule: ribosomal RNA, 468 nt
Filed under: uncultured bacterium
Lineage: Bacteria
Description: partial 16S ribosomal RNA
Rfam family: Bacterial small subunit ribosomal RNA
Source: RNAcentral
GACGAACGCUGGCGGCGUGCUUAACACAUGCAAGUCGAACGGAAAGGCCCUGCUUUUGUGGGGUGCUCGAGUGGCGAACGGGUGAGUAACACGUGAGUAACCUGCCCUUGACUUUGGGAUAACUUCAGGAAACUGGGGCUAAUACCGGAUAGGAGCUCCUGCUGCAUGGUGGGGGUUGGAAAGUUUCGGCGGUUGGGGAUGGACUCGCGGCUUAUCAGCUUGUUGGUGGGGUAGUGGCUUACCAAGGCUUUGACGGGUAGCCGGCCUGAGAGGGUGACCGGCCACAUUGGGACUAAGGUACGGCCCAGACUCCUACGGGGGGCAGCAGUGGGGAGUAUUGCACAAUGGGCGGAAGCCUGAUGCAGCAACGCCGCGUGCGGGAUGAAGGCCUUCGGGUUGUAAACCGCUUUCGCCUGUGACGAAGCGUGAGUGACGGUAAUGGGUAAAGAAGCACCGGCUAACUACGUG